ACACGGGGGGAGCAAGCGUUGUUCGGAAUCACUGGGCGUAAAGGGCGUGUAGGCGGUCAGGUAAGUGGAAUGUGAAAUGCCCCGGCUCACCCGGGGACCGGCAUCCCAAACUGCCUGGCUUGAGUAUGGGAGAGGAUGGAGGAAUUCCUGGUGUAGCGGUGAAAUGCGUAGAUAUCAGGAGGAACACCGGUGGCGAAGGCGUCCAUCUGGCCCAAUACUGACGCUGAGGCGCGAAAGCUAGGGGAGC
This 247-nucleotide ribosomal RNA is filed under the name uncultured bacterium. Its description in RNAcentral is "partial 16S ribosomal RNA". It matches the Rfam family "Bacterial small subunit ribosomal RNA", at positions 523 to 769 of the family's 1533-position model. The record is from RNAcentral.